Molecule: ribosomal RNA, 483 nt
Filed under: uncultured marine bacterium
Lineage: Bacteria
Description: bacterial SSU rRNA
Rfam family: Bacterial small subunit ribosomal RNA
Source: RNAcentral
UGGGGAAUCUUGGACAAUGGGGGCAAGCCUGAUCCAGCCAUGCCGCGUGAGUGAAGAAGGCCCUAGGGUCGUAAAGCUCUUUCACCUGUGAAGAUAAUGACGGUACCAGGAAAAGAAACCCCGGCUAACUCCGUGCCAGCAGCCGCGGUAAUACGGAGGGGGUUAGCGUUGUUCGGAAUUACUGGGCGUAAAGCGCACGUAGGCGGAUUAGAAAGUUAGAGGUGAAAUCCCGGGGCUCAACCCCGGAACUGCCUUUAAAACUGCUAGUCUUGAGUUCGAGAGAGGUGAGUGGAAUUCCAAGUGUAGAGGUGAAAUUCGUAGAUAUUUGGAGGAACACCAGUGGCGAAGGCGGCUCACUGGCUCGAUACUGACGCUGAGGUGCGAAAGUGUGGGGAGCAAACAGGAUUAGAUACCCUGGUAGUCCACACCGUAAACGAUGAAUGCCAGUCGUCGGCUAGCAUACUAUUCGGUGACACACCUAAC